Lycium barbarum (goji berry) is the source of this 3363-nucleotide long non-coding RNA. RefSeq lists it as uncharacterized. The record is from RefSeq and is a predicted model, not a curated record. NCBI's taxonomy places the organism in Eukaryota, Viridiplantae, Streptophyta, Magnoliopsida, Solanales, Solanaceae. The transcript is spliced from 2 exons.
CCUCUUUUCCCUUUUAUGAACAAAAGCCAAUCUCUCUCACUUCUAAACCAGAAUUUGUAGGCCUAUUUUGGUGAAAGUCUUUAAAAAUCUUCAUCUCUUUCACACGAUUUGGUCAAACGAAAAAAAAACUUUUGGAAGAAAUCCGCGUUUUCAGAGAUUUGAUUCUCUAGUCAAACGAUCAUUUUCGUUCUUCAAGGCCCGCCCCGUCUAACUCGGAAAAAUUAUUCUUUAAAAAUGAUGUACGAAUUACGGCUCAUUUUGACCGCAUUUUUUAUUUUUAAAUAUUGCUCGGAAGUAUAUCAAUAUUGGACUCAUUUUGAAGCUCGUAUCUUAAAACGACGUAUCAUAAUUUUUAUUUCAUCAAAAUAUUAUUUUACAAGGGGCAAAUUCUUGAUAAUUCUAUCUACCCCUUUUCCCUAUUCAAUAAAAAAAAAACAAAAAACAAAAAACAAAAAACAAAAAACAAAAAAAAAACAAAAAACAAAAAAAAACAAAAAAAGAAGAAGAGAGCAUGUGUCUCUUUCUUUCCAUCUCUGCUCCAUUUUUUCUUUGGACAAAAGUUCAACUUUCCCUCAUCUGAUUUCUUUCUUCUUUUUCUUGGGCUCCACACGUUUCAUAUCACCUUUUCCCUAAAUUUUCUCCUUCUCCUCCAAUCUCAACGACACAAUCUCUACUUUUUCUACUACCAAAUCACCUCUCUCUCUCCUCAUUAUUUUUCCACCCCCAACGUUCAAAACAAACAGAUUUCUUCAACUUUGAAAUCCCGCCCAAAAUCACAAAUUCUAGUUUUUCUACAUCUAUAAAUACUUUAUUAAUUGCUUCAAAAAAAAAAAAAAAGAGGAGAAAACAGGGAGUUUUGAGAAACAAAAAAAAAAGAAUCUCUCAAUUCUUGUCUAUCUACUUUAGUUAUUUAUAAGUUUUAAUUCUCAUUUUAUUGGGGGAGUAGUAGUGGAUCUAAGACCUCAAAGCCUCGUUCACUGCUCCCGUGGAAGGUAAUAAUCCGACACCGUGCUUUUACUUUUCAUGUUAGAAUUGCUGUGUUUGUUCAGAAAAAUCAUGAAAUAGAUCUGUCCAUUUUUUUGACAGUCUGAGUACAACAUAUGCUGCAUUUGUUUGGGUAUGUUCAUGCGUUACAAAGCUAUGUUUUAAUAUGUUUCGCUUUCAUCUUCCGUACUAAAAUCAUCCCUCGAAAUCUUAGGAUAUAAUAUCGUGUUUUUAAUAUGGUAGAGAAUAAUAUGUUCGAUUCCAUUUCCUUUCACAUGGAAUAGGGACGCAAACUUUAUUUUAUUUUUCUAUUUUGUUUGGAGAUACCUUUUAGCAUCAUCUCCACAAAAACGUAUUAGUAGCAUGUUUAAUUUCCAAAUACUGUUAGCUUGAAUAUGUACUUGUGAGUUAUAUUCUGAAUUGUUGUUUCUCUCAACUUUUAGAUGUCAUGGUAUUAGGAGUUUAUUUUAAUGUAUUUAUUUAAAUGAGGUCAUGGUUUAUUACUUAUUUUAUUUUAUUGUAUUAUUAUUAUUAUUAUUAUUAUUAUUAUUAUUAUUAUUAUUUUACCUGAGGCGUCAUUGUUGGGAAGUACAUAUGGCUUUAGUAGUUUUAAUUAAUUAAUUAGUAAACAUAUGAACAACCAUCCAAAUAUGUCCUACACUAGUAAUCAACUUGAGAUUUUAGAUACGGAUAUAGAAUAGUUCCAUUUUUUUAGAGUAAUUUGCUGAGUCCAGAAGUCUUGAUUUCCAACCAUUCGCUAUUUUCUUGUUGUCUUUGUUGAGAUUUAGUCUAGUUUUGCUUUCAUUAAGUUGGAUCUAUGGAUUCUCCAUAUUAAUCUUUAUUGUCUUGUUUUGUUUGCAUGAACACUUUGGAGCAAACAUGGAUUCUUAAUGCAAGACUCUUCCCGAGCAUGGACCCGGAGUCACUUUCUUUGGACUAUUAUUUUCUCUUGUCUUAACUAUGUAAAAGCCAAAAAUAGUGGAAGUAUUUCCCUACCCCCCUACUCUUUCGUGAUGCUUGGGAGAAUUAGUAUGGGUUAUAUACUUUAAUGUUAUGUCACUCUUUGCCACUUGACACCUAGGAUUCAUGUCUAAUUAAUGAAGUAGUUUGAAUCGGUAAUGAAGUUCUAUAAACCUGCUUAAUCGAUAAACCAAGCUUUAGUUCACAAAAAAGAGUUUUACUUAUUUCAUAAGUCAAAAUUUAAGUUCAAAUGACUUCUCAGAAAAACAUCAAAUCACAUUUUUACAAAUUUGCCCAGAAGUCAAUUUACUACUUUUAUCAAUUUCGUUAAAUCAAGUCACCAUUUUUUCCUCAUAUGUUGCUCAAUAUUUUAUUUUUAACAGUAUGAAGCUUUCUACAAAUUAGCUACAUUUUAUUUUCUUUGGAGGGCACAAAUUAUGCUCUUAUACUUAUAUAAUUUAAACUAAUAGAUGUUCUACUUUUUACUUUAGUGCUUUACGCAUGCAUGCAUAUUUUGUAAGAUUUCAAUAAAUAUACUUUAGUACAAUAUUUUCAAAAUAUUCAUUUUAGCCAUAUAUUAAUUAACCUAAGUUUGGCCGGAUAACCGUAGUUAACGGAUUCUAAAGAAUGCCUAACCCCUUCCUUUUAGGAUAAUAUAGAACCCUUACCUAGAAUCACACUGAUUAAGCAGACUAUUAACGGAGGUUUAGUUAGCUUUACCUUAGUUAAUUAUUAGGUGCCCUAAUUCACCUUAAAAUCAAUUAGGUGGCGACUCCUUAAAAUAAACAAAUAGGGAUCACCAAUAUGUCGUACUCUAAUUUAACCCGGUUAAAAUGGGGUAUAACAAUAUGUAUUUGGGGUAUGAGGAAAGGGAUAGGCGUUAUAUACGCAUUACCACCUGAUCAGCUGGUGCACAGUGAUGAUGAUAUAUGGAUCGGGCCGUACUUUAGCUUAUGAGUUCGGAUCCUCUUCAUGAUUCUUUUGUAUAUGUUACUCUUAUGCCUUACAUACUCGGUACAUUAUCCGUACUGACUCCCCUAUUGCUCGGGGGAUACAUUUCAUGCGCGCAGGUCUGAAGAUACAGGUUGUUGAUUCAUCUAUUAGGAUGUCAACUCAGCGGAUGUAUUUGAUGCACUCCAUUUGUUCUGGAGAUGCCAGGAUUCAGCAUGGUCUUAUGUGUAUGUUUAGAUAUGUACAUACAUAUGUUUAUGGGUAUGGCAGGGCCCUGUCCCGACCACGCUGUGUUAUGUUUCCAGUAGAGGCUUGUAGACAGUUAUGUACAGUUAGAUGGUGUCCAUACUUGAAAUUGCAUUUGUCAUCACACUCGAUUAUGAUAGCCUUAUCAGCGCAUAUAGCAUGUUCAGUAUUUUCAUACAGAUGAGUCUUUCAAAGCAGUUGAUAUAUGCAUGUUCCCUAUGA